Molecule: transfer RNA, 72 nt
Filed under: Gigaspora margarita
Lineage: Eukaryota; Fungi; Glomeromycota; Glomeromycetes; Diversisporales; Gigasporaceae
Also listed under: 1 other name
Description: tRNA-Gln
Rfam family: tRNA
About the family: Transfer RNA (tRNA) molecules are approximately 80 nucleotides in length. Their secondary structure includes four short double-helical elements and three loops (D, anti-codon, and T loops).
Source: RNAcentral
UGGGUAGUGGUCUAAUUGGUAGGACCUUCGACUUUGAUUCGGAAGGAAGAAGUUCGAAUCUUCUCUACCCAG